CACAAAUGUGUACAGCUGCCCCAUGCUCUCUUUCAGAUUUUUCAGCUGAAGGAAGUCGAGGAGAUCAAUGGGAGAUUUUCCUGCAAAAUCAUCCAUGGCAUACAUGACAGUCAGUUCUGUUCUCAGCCGAGAUGGAAAAGUGUUCCGUGGCUCUGGGAUAAGCUGGAAGAGACUACAUGUGGGAAAUUUCUCUGGUAUUCCUGAAACUUCUGGGGAUCGAGGAGGGUGACAAAGAUCAGUUUUUCGUGGUCUUGAAAUCUGUGUCUGGCAAAUAAUAUUGUCCAGAAUCCUGCCGUGGAGUUGGCGGUAGUGCGCGUGAGGAUCUUGCACUGGACCUCUUCGUGCGCUCGCAGCGCCCGUGGUGCGUUCAGUGGCCUCGUAGAUUUCCUCGUAUUGGCUUCUCUCUCGCUCAACGGUGUCACAGAACUCCUUUACCCUUGCCAGACAAAACUGUACAUCCAGUUUUUUGUUCUUCAGUAUUGAAAAGAGCACAUUUGAGUACUCAAAAAUGCAGUUAAAUGUGUAAUCAAAAAACAAAACUCAAAAUCAUCCAAACGUGCGUUAAAUCUAUCAGCACAGAGUCCUCAUCAUACUCGUCAUGAUGCUCCAGAAUGUGAUGAAACAGUUCCUUUAGAGCAUCUUUCUUCUCAAAGACUGUAUUGACCACUCUGGAUGUGUACGGCCACCGUGUUGGUGCCACGCGAGGGAGACGUCGCUGCAGAUUUCAUCCAGUAGUUGCGUGCGUCGAGGCGAUCUUGAAAAAAAUGCAACAAGGCCAUUGAGGUGGGCGAAAAAGAUCUUGCAUUCUUUAAGCUUUGAGGCCCCCUGAGUCAAUACUAAAUUGAGCCUAUGUGCAUAGCAGUGUAUGAAUAAAGUCAAAGGUGCUCUCUCCUUAACUUUAGCCUGCACCCCAUUUAAUCCAGAAGACAUGACCGCUGUGCCAUCAAAACACUGUGCCACAACUUUACUCAGACAUUCGUUUUCCACCAAAAACCGGAUAAUGAGACAUGCAUUGUCAUCGGCUCGCUUCCCACUGGUAACAUCUUCAAAUCUGACAAACCACUCCUUGACACCUGUGUCCGUUACAUAACGCAGAACCAGUGCGAGCUGCGCUGCGUUACUCGCGUCUGUCGUCUCAUCCACCACAACAGACACAAACAGAGCUUUAUUAACUUCCCUUCUGAUCUCCUCCAUCACUUCAGCAACAGCACUGAUCAGCUCGUUUUGUAUUUUCCCCAACGUCCCACUAAACCCUUUAUUAGUGGACAGGUGGUAAAUCCGUGUCGCUGUCAGCAAUUACAGAAAGAAGCUCCACGUAGUUUCCUCUGUUUGUGGAUCCAGCGCUUUCAUCGUGACCCCGAAAUGAAAGUUACUGCUUGCCCAAAAAAUUUACACAGCCUAUCAGUUUUUUCAAGAUUUCCCUGUUUUUCUUCACCUUUUCGUUAUGGAGCUCCGUUUCCCUGCACACUUGCUCAGCUGUAGAUCCACUCUGGUUUCUCCAAAGGUUUUGGAGAGCACCGUUGCUUGAAAGUGUCUGGGGGUGCUUUGAUGCCUCGUUGCUGCCUUGGUAAAGCAAGACAAAUUCUCAAAUCCAGUGUGGCUCCAAGCACCAUGCCGAUCAGAGGCAAAUAACAAGCACUCCAAGCAAUACAAUUUACAGCGUUCCUCGGAGCCAAGUGUACCGCUCGUAGCUAGUGGACUGAAAGUGGCGGACAAAUCCUUUUCCUGGUUGUGACAAGCUUGGGAGCUUCGGAGUUGCCCGACCUUGCUUAACAAUGUCCAGCUUUUCUUGAAAAGUCUGUCUUGAAAAUGGCUUUGACAGUAAGUCUGCAACCAAAUCCAUUUCUUCUCCUCCUUCAGCCAUUGUGGGUUGAUAAAACAGCUAUUAAAUUUGAUAUAUUUGUUUGUGCAGCUCGCUGAGUCGCUACAGAUGCAGUUUGCUAGCUCUGGCUAGUACACUCUCUGACUAUACAAUCAACGCGUGUGAAAAUGCUGAUGUUUCCGUGCGCCUGCUAGAGGGCCUUGGUGUCGCCUACUCCAAAUCUGAUUGGUUGAAGCAACAGUUUGGUCGACAUUUAUUUUUUGCUACAGGGCCCACAGAACUGAUUGUGAAGGCCUCCAGACAGAUUUCUUUGACCCUAGCAACAAAUAGUGCUGAAAUGUGAUUGGUUAAAUGCUUGGCUUCGGAGAACUGGCAAGAUGGCCCCUGUGUUCGGCUCAGCCACUGCCAGCAGGAGUUUUCCACAGAAAUUACCGACUCUUUUUAUUUCUGUUCUCUUGGUUUUAUUUUAUGUGAACUGUGUUUUAGCUGCUUUAAUUUGUGACCAUUGUACACUGCUGUCUAUCGGACUGUCGCUGAUUGGAAAAGAUACCUCGUCUCCCUGCGCCGCCGUUCUCCGCUCCCUGUGUCCGGCGUCUCCAGAAGGUUCCCAGACUGUAGCCUUUCCGGGACUUCGUCGACCUCGGUGGAAAAGGAGAGGGAAAAGAUCUGGCGUCCAGGUGAAAAUCCGACUGCGGUGGAAACGCGGGGCUUCCAGAAGACGUCGCCGAGCAUUCCUGGCUAGCUGGCAGCGGGACUCCGAUCACUCAUCUCUCAUCGAACUCUGCCCGGCUGGAUUCUCCUUCAUCUGUCGGCCUCUGCCAUCGGGUCGCGGAGGGGGAGUCGCCGCGGUGUUCCGGAGUCGUCUCAUGUGCCGCUCAGUUGGAGGACUGCAGUUUGUCAAAGAUCAGCUGUGAAUUUCUGGGUUUGGUUCUGAAGAACAAUCCGUCCAGACUGAAACAACUGGACCUGAGUGACAACAAAAUCCAGGAUUCAGGAUUUCUUCAUCUGUGUGGUUUUCUGGAGAGUCCAGACUGCAAACUGCAGAUUUUGGGGUUGAUCAACUGCAGUUUGUCAAAGACCAGCUGUGCUGCUCUGGGAUCAACUCUCAAGUUCAACCCAUCCCACCUGACAGAACUGGACCUGAGAUACAAUGACCUUCAGUCUUCAGAUGUUCAGCAGCUCCGGGAUCUGGUGAAGAGUCCAAACUUCAAACUGCUGACUCUGAGAUGGGAGGGAGAAGCUAUUUUCCUUUUCAAAUGAUCAACCAGAGAGAAUCAUCAUCAUCAUCAUCUGGUCUGCAGAGAUGUUGUUCCUGGAGGUGGAGAGCAGAGUGAUGGAGGAAUCAGAUGAAGUGGAGAUGAGUGUCAGAGCUGCAGCAUGAACUGAUCUGAGAUCAGCUCCACUGUCUCUCUCAGCAUCAAGUGAACAAUUACUAUGCUGCAGCUCCCCCGGUGGACUGAUGGAGAACUGCACUUCAUCUUCUCAUUCUAACUUGGAGUGUUGGGAAGUCUUCUGCUUCUCUUCUCUCUCGUAUUUGGAGCUUCUCUUAACUUUGUCCACACACUCUUGCUGUAGUUUUCUCCUCAUGUGUCCUGAAACUGUUUCUCUGAAUGAUCUGUGUUGGUGAUUCAUCAGAUUCCAGCAGUUCUGGCCUCAGGAUUCUCCAUCUGGGAGCAUUUUUGGUUCUUCUUUUUCAUCUUUAUCAGACCUUUCAGAACCACAAAGUGGACUGAGUUCCUCUGAUUAAAGGCUGCUGGGUUUUGUAUUUUGUUCAUUAUUUUACAGGAUGUUGUUCUAUUGUAACCAUGGUAACCGUGGGAACCGCACUCCUGUUAACCGCAGUCCUGAAGCAGAAAUCCCACCAGAACUAACAAAAGUCUCUCAGUCGAAUCAUUUUUAUAUCAUCUCUGUUCUGUUGAUGAUAAAAUAUUGACUCAUGCA
Oryzias melastigma (Indian medaka) is the source of this 3763-nucleotide long non-coding RNA. RefSeq lists it as uncharacterized. The record is from RefSeq and is a predicted model, not a curated record. Lineage: Eukaryota; Metazoa; Chordata; Actinopteri; Beloniformes; Adrianichthyidae. The transcript has 4 exons.